RNAcentral lists this ribosomal RNA (345 nucleotides) under uncultured bacterium. Its description in RNAcentral is "bacterial SSU rRNA". It matches the Rfam family "Bacterial small subunit ribosomal RNA", at positions 29 to 399 of the family's 1533-position model. The record is from RNAcentral.
AACGAACGCUGGCGGCAGGCCUAAUACAUGCAAGUCGAACGCUCGUAGCAAUACGAGAGUGGCAGACGGGUGAGUAACACGUGGGAACCUUCCCUAUGGUUCGGAAUAGCUCAGGGAAACUUGAGGUAAUACCGGAUAAGCCCUUACGGGGAAAGAUUUAUCGCCAUUGGAUGGGCCCGCGUCGGAUUAGCUAGUUGGUGGGGUAACGGCCUACCAAGGCGACGAUCCGUAGCUGGUCUGAGAGGANGAUCAGCCACACUGGGACUGAGACACGGCCCAGACUCCUACGGGAGGCAGCAGUAGGGAAUAUUGGACAAUGGGCNCAAGCCUGAUCCAGCCAUGCCG